GUGAGUCGUUGUAGCAAUACAAGGCAUACGGCUCAGUAACACGUAGUCAAUCUAACCUAUGGACGGGGAUAACCUCGGGAAACUGAGGAUAAUACCCGAUAGAUCAUCAUACCUGGAACGGUUUAUGGUCCAAAUGAUUCGUCGCCGUAGGGUGGGACUGUGGCCUAUCAGCUUGUUGGUGAGGUAAUGGCCCACCAAGGCUAUUACAGGUACGGGCUCUGAGAGGAGAAGCCCGGAGAUGGGUACUGAGACACGGACCCAGGCCCUAUGGGGCGCAGCAGGCGAGAAACCUUUGCAAUGUGCGCAAGCACGACAAGGUUAAUCCGAGUGUUUCCUGCUAAAGGAAUCUUUUGUUAGUUCUAAAACCACUGAUGAAUAAGGGGUGGGCAAGUUCUGGUGUCAGCCGCCGCGGUAAAACCAGCACCUCAAGUGGUCAGGAUGAUUAUUGGGCCUAAAGCAUCCGUAGCCUGUUUUGUAAGUUUCCGGUUAAAUCCAUUAGCUCAACUAAUGGGCUGCCGAAAAUACUGCAAAACUAGGGAGUGGGAGAGGUAGACGGUACUCGGUAGGAAGGGGUAAAAUCCUUUGAUCUAUUGAUGACCACCUGUGGCGAAGGCGGUCUACCAGAACACGUUCGACGGUGAGGGAUGAAAGCUGGGGGAGCAAACCGGAUUAGAUACCCGGGUAGUCCCAGCUGUAAACGAUGCAGACUCGGUGAUGCCCUGGCUUGUGGCCAGUGCAGU
RNAcentral lists this ribosomal RNA (740 nucleotides) under uncultured archaeon. Its description in RNAcentral is "bacterial SSU rRNA". It matches the Rfam family "Archaeal small subunit ribosomal RNA", at positions 53 to 799 of the family's 1478-position model. The record is from RNAcentral.